GCCCAAUGAUGAGACCAAGGCGAAUACGAGCUUACUGAAUGAGAGUUGGGUUCUUCUUGCCUUGAUUGGCAGGUAAUCUUGGUGGUGUAGAGGAGGAUUUCUGCUCCGCUGUAAGGGCCUGCCUACAGUGACAUGGCUCGCCCAAAUUAUUCCUUAAAAGUUACAGUGGAGUAAUAACAGGGAUGAUGCCAACAGAGUGUGUGUGUGUGUGUGUGUGUGUGUGUGUGUGUGUGUGUGUGUGUGCGCGCAUGCAUGCAUGUGUACGAGGCAAGGAGUUCACCCAGCUCUCUUUGCCGUUCAGUCUGCCAUGAGUUGCUUCUUUGGUAAUCUGAGGGCC
Molecule: small nucleolar RNA, 337 nt
Organism: Thunnus maccoyii (southern bluefin tuna)
Lineage: Eukaryota; Metazoa; Chordata; Actinopteri; Scombriformes; Scombridae
Source: RefSeq, a predicted model, not a curated record